Molecule: transfer RNA, 72 nt
Filed under: Camelus bactrianus (Bactrian camel)
Lineage: Eukaryota; Metazoa; Chordata; Mammalia; Artiodactyla; Camelidae
Also listed under: 2 other names
Rfam family: tRNA
About the family: Transfer RNA (tRNA) molecules are approximately 80 nucleotides in length. Their secondary structure includes four short double-helical elements and three loops (D, anti-codon, and T loops). Further hydrogen bonds mediate the characteristic L-shaped molecular structure. tRNAs have two regions of fundamental functional importance: the anti-codon, which is responsible for specific mRNA codon recognition, and the 3' end, to which the tRNAs corresponding amino acid is attached (by aminoacyl-tRNA synthetases). tRNAs cope with the degeneracy of the genetic code in two manners: having more than one tRNA (with a specific anti-codon) for a particular amino acid; and 'wobble' base-pairing, i.e. permitting non-standard base-pairing at the 3rd anti-codon position.
Source: Rfam by way of RNAcentral
GAGGGUAUAGCUCAGUGGUAGAGUGCAUGCUUAGCAUGCACGAGGUCCUGGGUUCAAACCCUAGCACCUCUA